GAUGAACGCUGGCGGCGUGCCUAACACAUGCAAGUCGAACGGAGUCCAGCCUUAGAGACCUUCGGGUCAAAGAGGGGAAGACUGAGUGGCGGACGGGUGAGUAACACGUGGGCAACCUGGCUCAUAGAGGGGGAUAACAGAGAGAAAUUUCUGCUAAUACCGCAUAAGCACACACUGCCGCAUGGCAGAGGGUGAAAAGAGAAUCGCUAUGAGAUGGACCCGCGUCUGAUUAGCCAGUUGGCAGGGUAAGAGCCUACCAAAGCGACGAUCAGUAGCCGAUCUGAGAGGACGAACGGCCACAUUGGGACUGAGACACGGCCCAAACUCCUACGGGAGGCAGCAGUGGGGGAUAUUGCACAAUGGGGGGAACCCUGAUGCAGCGACGCCGCGUGAGUGAAGAAGUAUUUCGGUAUGUAAAGCUCUAUCAGCAGGGAAGAUCAGACAGU
This 446-nucleotide ribosomal RNA is filed under the name Oribacterium sp. oral taxon 372. Its description in RNAcentral is "bacterial SSU rRNA". It matches the Rfam family "Bacterial small subunit ribosomal RNA", at positions 28 to 457 of the family's 1533-position model. Lineage: Bacteria; Bacillati; Bacillota; Clostridia; Lachnospirales; Lachnospiraceae. The record is from RNAcentral.